AUGCCGAUAACCGCUAAGCUCUUCUACUACCAGCGCCGCCGCCCGCCGCCGCCACCGAUUCCGGAGACCGCCGAGCCCCGCUGCAUCGACUCCUCCGCCGCCCGCCGCCGGGUUCACCCCAUUCGCUCCGCGCACCACAGGCCGGGCUAUGAUGUUUUUGGAGGAAGCCCGAGAGAGCGAGGGGCGUCUAGCGGAAGCAUAACCGAACCAACAAGGAACGUGCUCUUCAGCACAAGACAAAGCAGCAACACAUCAAAUGACCGACUUCCUGAUGCGGUUCAACAGGCCAAGGAGAGGCUUCAUCAAAGGCUCCGAAGUGUCGACCUGUUUCCAGGGAGAAGGCUAACAGCACCAGCUGUAGGAACCAUUUGGGCUGGACCUGAUCUUCCUUCUGAAUGUGAUACCUGCUCAUCAGAGGACGGCGGAUUGGUUAACCGGACUAUUCGCUUCAACUCCAACGCCUCCCUGUCAGGCCACAAAGAUAAACAGGUCACAGCAGAGACGUUUAGCAACGCGGCGGUGGUAGCGCCACAUGAUCUGAGGCCUGUCUCCAAACUAGGACAAGAAGCUCUCCAAGGAACAAUCGACAGUGACGACGACGUGGAGUCCUCAGUGGACUGUUCGAUAUGCCUUGAAGGAUGCCAUGGUGCAUCAGGCGGGCUGAUCCAGCUGCGCUGCAAGCACAUCUUCCAUUCGGCCUGCCUGGAGCAGUGGCUGCAGUCCCGCGCCGAUUGUCCGUACUGCAGGGCCGGCGUCGUCCUAUCCUACCACGGAAGGAGUGGCCUGGAGUAUUAG
RNAcentral lists this ribosomal RNA (795 nucleotides) under Triticum aestivum (bread wheat). Its description in RNAcentral is "partial small subunit ribosomal RNA". Lineage: Eukaryota; Viridiplantae; Streptophyta; Magnoliopsida; Poales; Poaceae. The record is from RNAcentral.